This 30-nucleotide non-coding RNA is filed under the name Rattus norvegicus (Norway rat). Lineage: Eukaryota; Metazoa; Chordata; Mammalia; Rodentia; Muridae. The record is from RNAcentral.
UUUGAUUGCUUGGUGUAUUCACCUCCUACC